This is a long non-coding RNA of Manis javanica (Malayan pangolin), 2248 nucleotides long. RefSeq lists it as uncharacterized. Lineage: Eukaryota; Metazoa; Chordata; Mammalia; Pholidota; Manidae. The record is from RefSeq and is a predicted model, not a curated record.
GGCUCCGCCCCCUCCUGGCCUCCGAGACGUUUUGGCGUUGGUUUUUCUGUGCCCGUCAGCGUGUUUUUGCCUAUUUGCUUGUUUGCUUAACUAUAGGGCCUUAGCUCCCAGAGAAAGCCUCAGGAAUGCGCUUGUCGGACAGUGCCUCUCCUCGUAGAUCCUCCGGGCAGGACCUCCAGGGGACGCCACGAAUCCAUAGCAGCCUUCCCUGCCGGGCCAGGCCUACCCACCUCGACCCAGCUUGGGGGCCCAGCAAACAUGGUCUCGGAGUUAACUGUUUUCCUCAUCUGGAAAAUGAGGAAGUCAGAAGGCUUCGAGGCAACGAUGGAAGCAAAGCAUGGUAUAGCACAAGCACAAGUGCCAGAUACACAGGAGAAAGCCCCCCUGGGGGAUCCGGCGCCAAGGCUUCGGACGGCCCCAGCUGACGCUGAGUGGAACAGACUCUCAGGCCUGACUCACUUGGCCUUUUCAUCAAUGUUUCAGAAGCAGAGCGGUUUUGCGCCUGGGUGAACCUGCCCAAAUAAAGUCCUUCAUUUCUGUAUACACAGCUUCUAGUGAAACUACGUUAAGACCUAACUCACUUGAUACAUAAGGAAUAACUUAGAAAAUCAAGACAAUCCUUUUUCUCUAUCAAGUCCUAGAAUUAAAACUAUUGAAAUAAUGGAAACUAUUAUCUCAUUGGCAAUUUAGGAAAAUUAACCUCAAGAUUCAAAGGUCACUGGGCAUCAUAUUAGUUUAAUAUUUUGAAAUACUUAUUGUCUCUACAUGGCUCCCAGGAGAGAAACCUGGCUCAGUUCCUACCUGCUCACUGCACACCACAUAGGCCACGCUGAGAGGUGAUGUCUGCAAUUCCUACCCUGUUACCCUCACCUAAAGACUAUUCUUUUUCUACCUUAUUUUGAAGCUCAGAGCAUCCAGCUAGACCGGUGGUUCUCAACCAGGGGCAAUUUUGUACCGCUCCCACCUUCCCCCACUGCCAGAACCCUCCCCCAGCCCACGCCCCCAGCCCACGCCCCCACAGGACAUUUAUGUCUGGAGACAGUUUUAGUUACAAUUGGGGGCAGGGGUGUACUGCCGGCAUCUAGUGCUCAGAGGCUGGAGAUGCUAAACAACCUACAAAGCCCAGGACAAGCCCUGCACCAAGCCCCGCCCCCAUCACAAAGCAUUCCCCAGUCGGUUUAACUGUCAACAAGGCUGAGGUUGAGAGGCCCUGAACUAGAUUAGUGUCUCCUCUGACCCUGUUAAUGCCACCUAAUGAUCUCUCAGGUGCCCCCUCACCUCUCAUUGCAAUAUCUCUGCCUCCUACUUCCAGGACUGAUUCCUAGGCCACACGUGGACUUUGUCAUUGCCAAGAACUGCCCCCCUCCUGAAAUUCUACGGCCUUAGGGUCCGAUUCUCAUUACAACUACCCUCCACCAGCGUGCUUUCUCCCUUGCUCCCUCUUUGUUCUUUGAUGUCACCUGGACCUCUCUCUAGUUUUAUCCACUACUCCCUUUUCCUCCAAUGUGACCUUCUAGGCCAGUACUAGAAACAGAAAUAUAUUGCAAGCUGCAUAUGUAAUUUAAACUAUUCUAGUAGCUAUGGUUUAAAAGAGUGACUAUACAAUUGCACUUAAUUUUCAUAAUGUAUUUCAUUUACCCAAUAUAUUCAAAAUGUCAAUUCAGCAUUAAUAUACAAUAAUUGAUGGAACAUUUUACAUUUUUUUUGUACAAAGUCUUUGAAAUCCCAUGUAGUUUAUUUACUUAUUAAGGUAUUAUUCCUUGUAUUUUAGUUAUGGCACAUUGCUAUACACACUGACCACUUUGCAGGUGCUCAACAGUCACGCAUGUCACUGAAGCUAGUUUCUUUCCACCACCCAUGACUUCCUGUUGAUAAAUCCAAUGGGCCCUCUUCAGACUCUGUAACUCCACCAGCCUUUGACAUGAUUGCCCACCGCAGCACCUCUCACAUCAUUGGAAUGUGGUGGUUAUGAGUCAGGCUCCGGAGCCAGGCUGCCUGGGUUCUAAUUCCAGUUCUACCACUUAUUAGCUGUGGGACCUGAGGUAAAUAACCUGCCCUGUCUGUGCACCAGAGAUAAUAAUUGUACCUACUUCUAGGGUUGUUUUGCAGUUUAAAUGUGUUAAUAGAGAACACUUAUCUAGUCCUAUUCUAAACGCUCUGUAUGUAUUAAUUGUUACCUAAAACAGUGCCUAGCCCCUAGUAACAUGUAUGUAUCUAUACGAAUAGCAUUUUACCAUUUCCAAUCACU